GCGUGAUUGGCGUAGUGGUUAACCCGUUCGUUCUUCAAACGGCACUUCGAAUACUUAUGGUGUUCGUUGUCGGGCUGGGGCCCUUGCCACCUGAUAGUGGAUGUUCCCAGGUUCGAAUCCCGGAUCGCGCA
This is a transfer RNA of Sordaria macrospora k-hell, 131 nucleotides long. It matches the Rfam family "tRNA". Rfam says of the family: Transfer RNA (tRNA) molecules are approximately 80 nucleotides in length. Their secondary structure includes four short double-helical elements and three loops (D, anti-codon, and T loops). The record is from Rfam. Lineage: Eukaryota; Fungi; Ascomycota; Sordariomycetes; Sordariales; Sordariaceae.